UAGGGAAUCUUCGGCAAUGGGGGGAACCCUGACCGAGCAACGCCGCGUGAGUGAAGAAGGUUUUCGGAUCGUAAAGCUCUGUUGUUAAGGAAGAACGAGUGUGAGAAUGGAAAGUUCAUACUGUGACGGUACUUAACCAGAAAGGGACGGCUAACUACGUGCCAGCAGCCGCGGUAAUACGUAGGUCCCGAGCGUUGUCCGGAUUUAUUGGGCGUAAAGCGAGCGCAGGCGGUUAGAUAAGUCUGAAGUUAAAGGCAGUGGCUCAACCAUUGUAGGCUUUGGAAACUGUUUACCUGGAGUGCAGAAGGGGAGAGUGGAAUUCCAUGUGUAGCGGUGAAAUGCGUAGAUAUAUGGAGGAACACCGGUGGCGAAAGCGGCUCUCUGGUCUGUAACUGACGCUGAGGCUCGAAAGCGUGGGGAGCGAACAGG
Molecule: ribosomal RNA, 429 nt
Filed under: Bacteroidota bacterium
Lineage: Bacteria; Pseudomonadati; Bacteroidota
Description: Bacteroidetes bacterium partial 16S ribosomal RNA
Rfam family: Bacterial small subunit ribosomal RNA
Source: RNAcentral